GGGCGGAUAGCUCAGUUGGUAGAGCACAGGACUGAAAAUCCUGGUGUCGGGGGUUCGAUUCCCCCUCCGCCCA
Molecule: transfer RNA, 73 nt
Filed under: Fuerstiella sp.
Lineage: Bacteria; Pseudomonadati; Planctomycetota; Planctomycetia; Planctomycetales; Planctomycetaceae
Also listed under: 1 other name
Description: tRNA-Phe
Rfam family: tRNA
About the family: Transfer RNA (tRNA) molecules are approximately 80 nucleotides in length. Their secondary structure includes four short double-helical elements and three loops (D, anti-codon, and T loops). Further hydrogen bonds mediate the characteristic L-shaped molecular structure. tRNAs have two regions of fundamental functional importance: the anti-codon, which is responsible for specific mRNA codon recognition, and the 3' end, to which the tRNAs corresponding amino acid is attached (by aminoacyl-tRNA synthetases). tRNAs cope with the degeneracy of the genetic code in two manners: having more than one tRNA (with a specific anti-codon) for a particular amino acid; and 'wobble' base-pairing, i.e. permitting non-standard base-pairing at the 3rd anti-codon position.
Source: RNAcentral